GCGACGAUAGAGUAGUGGUGAACUCACCUCCCUCCCAAUUACCAAGAAUUUGGGUGUCUAGGAGGAGACUCGGGUUCGAACCCCGAUCGUCGCA
The sequence is a transfer RNA, 94 nucleotides long. It matches the Rfam family "tRNA". Rfam says of the family: Transfer RNA (tRNA) molecules are approximately 80 nucleotides in length. The record is from Rfam.